Small nucleolar RNA from Otolemur garnettii (small-eared galago), 89 nucleotides. Its record names the gene SNORD14. It matches the Rfam family "Small nucleolar RNA SNORD14". From Rfam's summary of the family: U14 small nucleolar RNA (U14 snoRNA) is required for early cleavages of eukaryotic precursor rRNAs. In yeasts, this molecule possess a stem-loop region (known as the Y-domain) which is essential for function. Lineage: Eukaryota; Metazoa; Chordata; Mammalia; Primates; Galagidae. The record is from Ensembl.
UCACAAUGAUGAGUGGUUUCCAAACAUUCGCGGUUUCCACCAGAAUUCAAAUCAUGUUGGCAACUAACCUUCCUUGGAUGUCUGAGUGA